AUACGUUUUUUCGAUCGGCGAAAGGAUUGUCUCGGCGGUUCACUCGGUCGCGGUGAGUUAUGCUGGUAGUUGCUCUGCUCUGAUGAGAUUGGUCUCCGGUGGUACAGAGUUCUGGCUUGAAGCUCCGUUGCGGCGGAGGUUGGAAGCGGGUUCCUCGGUUGACGCGUGUCUCCUUCUUUCUCUGGUUCGGGCACGUAGGCUCAACAAAUGGCGUUUCCUCCUCCAGAGUAUAGACACUUUAGUUGGCUCAUGGAAACGUCAGGUUCCAGAUCCUUAAAGUUCUCCAAUAACCUGGAGAGGGUGAGAGCAUCACUAGGCUUAAAUGAGGAUUUUGUGGUGGUGCUCUCUGGAAGACUUCCAUUGUUUCAAGUUCCUUCCAGAGAUGUGACUUUUUUGCAAAAGGCAAAACCAUGGUUGUGGCCUCCCUCAACACCAGGAGUAGAAGAACUAAGGUUAUGUUCUCUUUUCCUCUUUUGAUUGUUGUUAACUUCUUCGCUGCUCUCCUGCAACCGCGAAACCAUUUAAAAGGAACCUUAGUUAGUAAAAACUAGUGCAUAUAAGUGCUUAUAAGUUUUAUAAACUAAGUUCUUGGAUAUUUCCUUUGAUUUGAAAAUGAAAUUUCCUUUUUACUGUCUUGAUCUGGAACAGAUCCGGUGGUGAAUUGAAGUAAACCCAAGCUUUCUCAUGGUCUAUCUUCUUGAAAAACACACCGGUCCACCCACCCUUCCUUGAACCGGACGGAUAAACUUCCGGUAAGUGAUUUUCCGAGUAGUGGAGCCAUCGUCCGCUACCAAAGACGCAUGAAGCCUUUUGUUUCCAUAUACAGGCACAGAGGUUUCAAGAAUGGCUCUGACCCUUUAAGACCUUCUUCGUUAGAGGAGACUUCAAUCCAUUCGCCUCUCCUCAUUGCCAUUUUCGGAAAAUAGAAACUCUUAACUGUUUUUCUCUCCUUGUGAGUGGGUAAUCAGAGAGUCAUAACAAAAUAAGUAUCUUCUGGACUUUGGUAUUUUUGAUGUUUUGGCGCGAUUUAAUUUUUUUCUGCACA
Molecule: long non-coding RNA, 1045 nt
Organism: Brassica napus (rape)
Lineage: Eukaryota; Viridiplantae; Streptophyta; Magnoliopsida; Brassicales; Brassicaceae
Exons: 2
Source: RefSeq, a predicted model, not a curated record